Herpailurus yagouaroundi (jaguarundi) is the source of this 466-nucleotide long non-coding RNA. RefSeq lists it as uncharacterized. Lineage: Eukaryota; Metazoa; Chordata; Mammalia; Carnivora; Felidae. The record is from RefSeq and is a predicted model, not a curated record. The transcript has 2 exons.
CUGACAUUCUGGGAACGUGCUUCUCCAGAGAGGCCGACCUGUCUCUGGGUUGGCAGGAGGCUGCCUGAUGCCCCAGCUGGGCUCCUUCCCCAACUGCUCUCUGCUUCUCAUCUGGCAUCCUGCUGGGAACUGAUCCGUUAGGACUGAUCCAUGGCUCAGACUUCCUCCGGAAGGGGGUAGAGGUAGUUCAAAAGCGUGUCUGCACAAGAAGCACACAGAGAGAGCCGGGAGAGGGACUGCACAUGAGGCAGAUUAAUUGAACAAUCGAGAAGCCGAUAGUCAAUAAAGAUUGCUCUGUUUGUACAGGUUGCAGAGGACUGAUUCUCUCUGCUCUUGGGUCCGGUGACUGUCCCUUGUGGUGGACCACUUUCUUGCCCUCUCGUGGAUUCCAUCCUCUGUACCUUUUCCCUUUGCUGACUUGAAUCUGUAUCCUUCUGUUGUUAUAAACUGUAACAAACAGCUUUUC